This 518-nucleotide ribosomal RNA is filed under the name bacterium ocme08sprp774. RNAcentral describes it as "bacterial SSU rRNA". It matches the Rfam family "Bacterial small subunit ribosomal RNA", at positions 48 to 557 of the family's 1533-position model. The record is from RNAcentral.
GCUACACAUGCAGUCGAGCGGAACGAAGAGGAGCUUGCUCCUUUGGCGUCGAGCGGCGGACGGGUGAGUAAUGCUUGGGAAUGUGCCUUAUGGUGGGGGACAACAGUUGGAAACGACUGCUAAUACCGCAUAAUGUCUUCGGACCAAAGUGGGGGACCUUCGGGCCUCACGCCAUAAGAUCAGCCCAAGUGGGAUUAGCUAGUUGGUAAGGUAAUGGCUUACCAAGGCGACGAUCCCUAGCUGGUUUGAGAGGAUGAUCAGCCACACUGGGACUGAGACACGGCCCAGACUCCUACGGGAGGCAGCAGUGGGGAAUAUUGCACAAUGGGCGCAAGCCUGAUGCAGCCAUGCCGCGUGUGUGAAGAAGGCCUUCGGGUUGUAAAGCACUUUCAGUAAGGAGGAAAGGUUAAGUGUUAAUAGCACUUAGCUGUGACGUUACUUACAGAAGAAGCACCGGCUAACUCCGUGCCAGCAGCCGCGGUAAUACGGAGGGUGCGAGCGUUAAUCGGAAUUACUGG